RNAcentral lists this ribosomal RNA (688 nucleotides) under uncultured archaeon. Its description in RNAcentral is "bacterial SSU rRNA". It matches the Rfam family "Archaeal small subunit ribosomal RNA", at positions 85 to 756 of the family's 1478-position model. The record is from RNAcentral.
ACGGCUCAGUAACACGUGGCUAAUCUGCCCUUGGGACCGGAGUACCCCCGGGAAACUGGGGCUAAUUCUCGAUAGGUGAAGAACUCUGGAAUGAGUCUUUGCCAAAAAGACGCUUGCGUUAUGCUCGCAGGCGUCGCCCAAGGAUGAGGCCGCGACCGAUCAGGUUGUUGGUGAGGUAAUGGCUCACCAAGCCUUUUACCGGUGCGGGCCGUGAGAGCGGGAGCCCGGAGAUGGGCACUGAGACAAGGGCCCAGGCCCUACGGGGCGCAGCAGUCGCGAAAACUUUGCAAUACACGAAAGUGUGACAGGGCUAUCCCGAGUGCCAUCCGCUGAGGAAGGCUUUUACCCAGUCUAGAACGCUGGGGGAAUAAGGAGAGGGCAAGUCUGGUGUCAGCCGCCGCGGUAAUACCAGCUCUCCGAGUGGUGUGGAUGUUUAUUGGGCCUAAAGCAUCCGUAGCUGGCUAAGUUAGUCCCUUGUUAAAUCCACCGAAUUAAUCGUUGGAUUGCGGGGGAUACUGCUUGGCUAGGGGACGAGAGAGGCAGACGGUAUUUCCGGGGUAGGGGUGAAAUCCUAUAAUCCCGGGAAGACCACCAGUGGCGAAGGCUGUCUGCUAGAACGCGCCCGACGGUGAGGGAUGAAAGCUGGGGGAGCGAACCGGAUUAGAUACCCGGGUAGUCCCAGCUGUAA